RNAcentral lists this transfer RNA (73 nucleotides) under Cyclobacteriaceae bacterium. RNAcentral's name for it is "tRNA-Thr". It matches the Rfam family "tRNA". From Rfam's summary of the family: Transfer RNA (tRNA) molecules are approximately 80 nucleotides in length. Their secondary structure includes four short double-helical elements and three loops (D, anti-codon, and T loops). Further hydrogen bonds mediate the characteristic L-shaped molecular structure. tRNAs have two regions of fundamental functional importance: the anti-codon, which is responsible for specific mRNA codon recognition, and the 3' end, to which the tRNAs corresponding amino acid is attached (by aminoacyl-tRNA synthetases). tRNAs cope with the degeneracy of the genetic code in two manners: having more than one tRNA (with a specific anti-codon) for a particular amino acid; and 'wobble' base-pairing, i.e. permitting non-standard base-pairing at the 3rd anti-codon position. The record is from RNAcentral. Lineage: Bacteria; Pseudomonadati; Bacteroidota; Cytophagia; Cytophagales; Cyclobacteriaceae.
GCCGCCCUAGCUCAGCUGGCAGAGCACCGCAUUCGUAAUGCGUAGGUCGAGGGUUCGAGUCCCUUGGGCGGCU